This 432-nucleotide ribosomal RNA is filed under the name Triticum aestivum (bread wheat). RNAcentral describes it as "partial small subunit ribosomal RNA". The record is from RNAcentral. Lineage: Eukaryota; Viridiplantae; Streptophyta; Magnoliopsida; Poales; Poaceae.
AUGAAUUACCAAAACCACCUAGGGAUAGUUGCACUUUCAGUUGUCCUGGGUGAUUUUAAUGAAAUCCUAUAUUCCCAUGAGAAAGAAGGCGGCAAUGCAAUACCAAAUGCAAUGAUGAGAGGUUUUCAUAAUUGUUUGGGAGACUGUGGCCUGGAAGAUCUAGGAUAUAUUGGGGAUCCUUUCACUUGGAGGAGAGGAGUAAUCAGGGAGAGACUUGACCGUGUUGUAUGUAAUGUGGAAUGGGAAAAUAAAUUUCCUUGUACCGCGGUCAUAAAUGAAGAACACGUACAUUCCGACCAUCGUCCUCUAAUCCUGGACACAGAAUAUUUGUAUGGUAAUAUGUUUAACCGACCGAAGAACCGAGUAAGACAAUUUGAAGCGUGGUGGCUCCAAGAAGAAACAGUUGUGGAAAUUGUACGUACUGUUUGGUAG